Pezoporus flaviventris is the source of this 304-nucleotide long non-coding RNA. RefSeq lists it as uncharacterized. The record is from RefSeq and is a predicted model, not a curated record. Lineage: Eukaryota; Metazoa; Chordata; Aves; Psittaciformes; Psittacidae. The transcript has 2 exons.
CUGGAAUGGGAAAAAAAUUAAAAAUCAAAUGUUUUGAGAAGAGAAUGAGAAUUGGAAAAUGAAGGAAUCUGAUUAUUUUAAAAAUACCUAUUUAUUUGUGAAAUUUGAAAGAACAAAAGAACAUGUCUGUUUCUGACAACAUCUAUAAACAAAAGGUUUCUUGAGCACAGCUUAUUUACUAUACCUGAAUGUUGUAUCCCUAUAGAAAUGGCACACCACGUUUUUACUUUCUUUGACUUCUUGGAAAAAGUCUCUCUCGCUUGGGAUUUCUCUGUAUUCUCCAUGUCCUUUUGAAAGCCACUCC